CCCCAGACCAGAAAGGUCCCUCCCAGAAAACAUCUAUUAAAGGCAGCACACGAGGUUGCAAAAACUCCAGCGUAUACUACAACUCCAAUUAUCCAAUAGCCAUGCUGGCUGGGAAGGAUGGGAAACAUAGCUGGCAACACCUAGAGGGUUCAGGGAUAGAAAAGGCUAACUAAGACAUGUCUGGACUCUGGAGCAAAUGGAGGAAAAGCCACUCCUUGUGUUUCCAAAGAUGAUCUGAAUAAGCAUAUCACUCAGAUAAAUGUUAUUAUUAUUUUUUUCUUUCUAGGUUGUGAGUGGCAGGAGGCCACGGACCUCAUGAAAGCCCUGGGGAUGGUGCUACAAAAAAUCUAUUAUGGGAAAGUGACCGCAAAACAAGAAAGGGGGCAGGGACCCAGUGGGGCUGGUGGGUCCAGCCCGGCUGUGCGUGAGCACACAGGAAUUCAGCCUGGCUGGCACCAGCCGCUUGUGGCGUCCGAUGGGAAAAGAGCUUGGUGUGAAGACACAGGUCCCAAGGGAGAAGAUGGUUCUUUUCAUCCAGGCCCCCGCAUUGACACUGUGGUCCCCACCAACCUGGCCGGCUUGUCCCCUCGUCACUUUGUGGUGUACCGUUUCGGCUGCGCGGUGGUCCGCCUGCUGGGAAAAGUCUUCUCUUUCCCAGCAGUGGUACUCCUGCUGGCUCAAGAGAUCCCCAAACCAGGCUCUGUGGAAGUUCAAGACACCCUUCCGUUUGCCAGGGAUUCCUACUAUGAUGCUAGCAAUAGGUUCCUGUACGUCUUGUCCUCACAUCUGGAGAACGCUGGGGGAUUUGCAGCAGUCGUGUUGAACGCCCUGGCGCACCUCAAAGCAGGUAUUCUGGGGAUAUCUAAACAGUGCUCUUUAUCCUGUUGAAUCGUGUCUAACUCCACUGUAGGUCUUUUGCUUUGCACGAUGCCUUCUCACAUUUUUGGAUAUAAGCUGCCGGGCGCUCCCUGCUGUGUUUUCUUUCCCAGCUGCAAUGAGCACCAGAAAUACAAAUAUUGAAGGGCCAAUGGCCAUUUCUGCCCUAAUUGGCCAUCAAAUAAAAGACAUGCAUCACUGCCCCA
This 1082-nucleotide long non-coding RNA is filed under the name Pogona vitticeps (central bearded dragon). RNAcentral describes it as "lncRNA (ENSPVIG00000025098.1)". Lineage: Eukaryota; Metazoa; Chordata; Lepidosauria; Squamata; Agamidae. The record is from RNAcentral.